RNAcentral lists this ribosomal RNA (279 nucleotides) under uncultured Staphylococcus sp. Its description in RNAcentral is "partial 16S ribosomal RNA". It matches the Rfam family "Bacterial small subunit ribosomal RNA", at positions 83 to 356 of the family's 1533-position model. The record is from RNAcentral. Lineage: Bacteria; Bacillati; Bacillota; Bacilli; Caryophanales; Staphylococcaceae.
CCUUUGACGUUAGCGGCGGACGGGUGAGUAACACGUGGGUAACCUACCUAUAAGACUGGGAUAACUUCGGGAAACCGGAGCUAAUACCGGAUAAUAUUUCGAACCGCAUGGUUCGAUAGUGAAAGGUGGUUUUGCUAUCACUUAUAGAUGGACCCGCGACGUAUUAGCUAGUUGGUAAGGUAACGGCUUACCAAGGCGACGAUACGUAGCCGACCUGAGAGGGUGAUCGGCCACACUGGAACUGAGACACGGUCCAGACUCCUACGGGAGGCAGCAGUG